GAUGAACGCUGGCGGCGUGCUUAACACAUGCAAGUCGAACGAAGCACUUUAUUUGAUUUCCUUCGGGACUGAUUAUUUUGUGACUGAGUGGCGGACGGGUGAGUAACGCGUGGGUAACCUGCCUUGUACAGGGGGAUAACAGUUGGAAACGGCUGCUAAUACCGCAUAAGCGCACGGCAUCGCAUGAUGCAGUGUGAAAAACUCCGGUGGUAUAAGAUGGACCCGCGUUGGAUUAGCUAGUUGGUGAGGUAACGGCCCACCAAGGCGACGAUCCAUAGCCGACCUGAGAGGGUGACCGGCCACAUUGGGACUGAGACACGGCCCAAACUCCUACGGGAGGCAGCAGUGGGGAAUAUUGCACAAUGGGCGAAAGCCUGAUGCAGCGACGCCGCGUGAGCGAAGAAGUAUUUCGGUAUGUAAAGCUCUAUCAGCAGGGAAGAUAAUGACGGUACCUGACAAAGAAGCACCGGCUAAAUACGUG
This 481-nucleotide ribosomal RNA is filed under the name uncultured bacterium. RNAcentral's name for it is "partial 16S ribosomal RNA". It matches the Rfam family "Bacterial small subunit ribosomal RNA", at positions 28 to 507 of the family's 1533-position model. The record is from RNAcentral.